This 75-nucleotide ribosomal RNA is filed under the name Bacteroidales bacterium. RNAcentral's name for it is "partial 16S ribosomal RNA". It matches the Rfam family "Bacterial small subunit ribosomal RNA", at positions 1 to 69 of the family's 1533-position model. The record is from RNAcentral. Lineage: Bacteria; Pseudomonadati; Bacteroidota; Bacteroidia; Bacteroidales.
AUUUAUACAAUGAAGAGUUUGAUCCUGGCUCAGGAUGAACGCUAGCGGGAGGCUUAACACAUGCAAGUCGAGGGG